RNAcentral lists this ribosomal RNA (646 nucleotides) under uncultured bacterium. RNAcentral describes it as "bacterial SSU rRNA". It matches the Rfam family "Bacterial small subunit ribosomal RNA", at positions 143 to 807 of the family's 1533-position model. The record is from RNAcentral.
ACAACAGUUAGAAAUGACUGCUAAUACCGCAUAAGCCUACGGAGUCGCAUGGCUCAGUAGGAAAAAUUCCGGUGGUACAGGAUGGGCCCGCGUCUGAUUAGCCAGUUGGUGAGGUAAUGGCUCACCAAGGCGACGAUCAGUAGCCGGCUUGAGAGAGUGAACGGCCACAUUGGGACUGAGACACGGCCCAAACUCCUACGGGAGGCAGCAGUGGGGAAUAUUGCACAAUGGGGGAAACCCUGAUGCAGCAACGCCGCGUGAGUGAAGAAGUAUUUCGGUAUGUAAAGCUCUAUCAGCAGGGAAGAAAAUGACGGUACCUGACUAAGAAGCACCGGCUAAAUACGUGCCAGCAGCCGCGGUAAUACGUAUGGUGCAAGCGUUAUCCGGAUUUACUGGGUGUAAAGGGAGCGCAGGCGGUCUGGCAAGUCUGAUGUGAAAAUCCGGGGCUCAACUCCGGAACUGCAUUGGAAACUGUCAGACUAGAGUGUCGGAGAGGUAAGUGGAAUUCCUAGUGUAGCGGUGAAAUGCGUAGAUAUUAGGAGGAACACCAGUGGCGAAGGCGGCUUACUGGACGAUAACUGACGCUGAGGCUCGAAAGCGUGGGGAGCAAACAGGAUUAGAUACCCUGGUAGUCCACGCCGUAAAC